Molecule: small nuclear RNA, 104 nt
Organism: Eptesicus fuscus (big brown bat)
Lineage: Eukaryota; Metazoa; Chordata; Mammalia; Chiroptera; Vespertilionidae
Source: RefSeq, a predicted model, not a curated record
GUGCUUGCUUUGGCAGCACAUAUACUAACAUUGGGAUGAUACAGAGAUUAGCAUGGCCCCUGCACAAGGAUGACACGCAAAUUCAUGAAGCACUCCAUAUUAAA